Molecule: ribosomal RNA, 662 nt
Filed under: uncultured bacterium
Lineage: Bacteria
Description: bacterial SSU rRNA
Rfam family: Bacterial small subunit ribosomal RNA
Source: RNAcentral
GGGGAUAACACUUGGAAACAGGUGCUAAUACCGUAUAACACUAUUUUCCGCAUGGAAGAAAGUUGAAAGGCGCUUUUGCGUCACUGAUGGAUGGACCCGCGGUGCAUUAGCUAGUUGGUGAGGUAACGGCUCACCAAGGCCACGAUGCAUAGCCGACCUGAGAGGGUGAUCGGCCACACUGGGACUGAGACACGGCCCAGACUCCUACGGGAGGCAGCAGUAGGGAAUCUUCGGCAAUGGACGAAAGUCUGACCGAGCAACGCCGCGUGAGUGAAGAAGGUUUUCGGAUCGUAAAACUCUGUUGUUAGAGAAGAACAAGGAUGAGAGUAAAACGUUCAUCCCUUGACGGUAUCUAACCAGAAAGCCACGGCUAACUACGUGCCAGCAGCCGCGGUAAUACGUAGGUGGCAAGCGUUGUCCGGAUUUAUUGGGCGUAAAGCGAGCGCAGGCGGUUUCUUAAGUCUGAUGUGAAAGCCCCCGGCUCAACCGGGGAGGGUCAUUGGAAACUGGGAGACUUGAGUGCAGAAGAGGAGAGUGGAAUUCCAUGUGUAGCGGUGAAAUGCGUAGAUAUAUGGAGGAACACCAGUGGCGAAGGCGGCUCUCUGGUCUGUAACUGACGCUGAGGCUCGAAAGCGUGGGGAGCGAACAGGAUUAGAUACCCU